Molecule: ribosomal RNA, 171 nt
Filed under: uncultured bacterium
Lineage: Bacteria
Description: partial 16S ribosomal RNA
Rfam family: Bacterial small subunit ribosomal RNA
Source: RNAcentral
ACUCCUACGGGAGGCAGCAGUGGGGAUAUUGCACAAUGGGCGAAAGCCUGAUGCAGCGACGCCGCGUGAGCGAAGAAGUAUUUCGGUAUGUAAAGCUCUAUCAGCAGGGAAGAAAAUGACGGUACCUGACUAAGAAGCCCCGGCUAACUACGUGCCAGCAGCCGCGGUAAU